This is a non-coding RNA of Cinara cedri, 524 nucleotides long. NCBI's taxonomy places the organism in Eukaryota, Metazoa, Arthropoda, Insecta, Hemiptera, Aphididae. The record is from the annotation of a GenBank genome assembly.
CGGCUAUAAAUCACGAAAAUGAGAAAUUAUCGUUUGUUUAUUCGCAAAACGGUUUUUCGCUCCCGCACAGUCAAUGCGUAUUAUAAUAUAUUUUUACACUCGUAUACAUUAAUAUUAUGCAUUUUUUUUUUUUUUUUACGGCAUUUUCGAUGAAGCUCUUCUGCGUAGUGUUUUUAUUUUACAGAUUAAAUCGAGAAAAAAAAACAGCGUCGUGGAGUUGUUACGAUUUCCCUCUCGGAGAAAAACUUUUCCUCUCAGGCAACGGGUAACUUAUUUGAACAAUAUUGCUGUAAUCAUUCCGUAAUUAUUAGCAUUUCGAUUUUUUUUUCUCCCGUCCCGGGAACAAAACUCACUCGAACAAAGUCACUAAGUAGAUUAUUAUAAUAUGGCUUACCCAAAGCGGUUGUACAGAACGACAAAAAUAAUAUUUAAACGUUAUUGGAUAUUGUUUUAAAAAAAAAACCGAUUCUGAGUGGAGUAAUUCAAGUAGCAUUUUUCUUUUACCUGUGAUUACGGAUUACCCG